This 1341-nucleotide ribosomal RNA is filed under the name Rhodobacter sp. RNAcentral's name for it is "bacterial SSU rRNA". Lineage: Bacteria; Pseudomonadati; Pseudomonadota; Alphaproteobacteria; Rhodobacterales. The record is from RNAcentral.
GUCGAGCGAGACCUUCGGGUCUAGCGGCGCGACGUGGUGAGUAACGCGUGGGAACGUGCCCUUUGCUACGGAAUAGCCCCGGGAAACUGGGAGUAAUACCGUAUGUGCCCUUCGGGGGAAAGAUUUAUCGGCAAAGGAUCGGCCCGCGUUGUGAUUAGGUAGUUGGUGGGGUAAUGGCCUACCAAGCCGACGAUCCAUAGCUGGUUUGAGAGGAUGAUCAGCCACACUGGGACUGAGACACGGCCCAGACUCCUACGGGAGGCAGCAGUGGGGAAUCUUAGACAAUGGGGGAAACCCUGAUCUAGCCAUGCCGCGUGAGCGAUGAAGGCCUUAGGGUUGUAAAGCUCUUUCAGGUGGGAAGAUAAUGACGGUACCACCAGAAGAAGCCCCGGCUAACUCCGUGCCAGCAGCCGCGGUAAUACGGAGGGGGCUAGCGUUGUUCGGAAUUACUGGGCGUAAAGCGCACGUAGGCGGAUCAGAAAGUCAGAGGUGAAAUCCCAGGGCUCAACCUUGGAACUGCCUUUGAAACUCCUGGUCUUGAGGUCGAGAGAGGUGACUGGAAUUCCGAGUGUACGAGGUGAGAUUCRUAGAUAUUCAGGAGGAACACCAGUGGCGAAGGCGGCUCACUGGCUCGAUACUGACGCGUGAGGUGCGAAAGCGUGAGGGAGCAAAUCAUGAUUAGAUAUCCUCUGGUAGUCUCACGCCGGUAACAGCGGAUGAAUAGCCAGUCUGUCRGCAGGCAUGCCUGUCGGUGACACACCUACACGGAUUAAGCAUUCCGCCUGGCGGAGUACGGUCGCAAGAUUARAACUCAACAGGAAUUGACGGGGGCCCGCACAAGCGGUGGAGCAUGUAGGUUUAAUUCGAAGCAACGCGCAGAACCUUAACCAACCCUUGACAUCGGGAUCGCGGUUACCGGAGACGGUUUCACUUCAGUUCGGCUGGAUCCCAGACAGGGUGCUGCAUGGCUGUCGUCAGCUCGUGUCGCUGAGAUGUUCGGUUAAGUCCGGCAACGAGCGCAACCCACACUUUCAGUUGCCAUCAUUCAGUUGGGCACUCUCGAAGAACUACCGAUGAUAAGUCGGAGGAAGGUGUGGAUGACGUCAAGUCCUCAUGGCCCUUACGGGUUGGGCUACACACGUGCUACAAUGGUGGUGACAAUGGGCCAAUCCCAAAAAGCCAUCUCAGUUCGGAUUGGGGUCUGCAACUCUACCCCACGAAGUCGGAAUCGCUAGUAAUAGCGUAACAGCAUGACGCGCUGAAUACGUUCCCGGGCCUCGUACACACCGCCCGUCACACCAUGGGAAUUGGGUCUACCCUAAGAGAGUGCGCCAACCCUAA